Molecule: ribosomal RNA, 253 nt
Filed under: uncultured bacterium
Lineage: Bacteria
Description: partial 16S ribosomal RNA
Rfam family: Bacterial small subunit ribosomal RNA
Source: RNAcentral
UACGGAGGGUGCAAGCGUUGUUCGGAAUUACUGGGCGUAAAGCGUACGUAGGCGGCUUUGUAAGUUAGAGGUGAAAGCCCGGGGCUCAACUCCGGAACUGCCUUUAAGACUGCAUCGCUUGAAUCCAGGAGAGGUGAGUGGAAUUCCGAGUGUAGAGGUGAAAUUCGUAGAUAUUCGGAAGAACACCAGUGGCGAAGGCGGCUCACUGGACUGGUAUUGACGCUGAGGUGCGAAAGCGUGGGGAGCAAACAGG